GACAGGAUUCACACCCUUAUGGAGGAGGAUCCAGAGCAGUUCCCGGCCCCCUUGGGCGGGACACUGUGAGGACACUGAAGGGUGUGGCCAGCUAUGAGCCAGGAAGCAGCCCUCACCCUGUGGGGAAUCUGGAAUCCGCCCAGGCCUUGACCUUGGACUUCCCAGUCUCCAGAGCUGUGAGAGAUACAUUUCUGCUGCGCAGUCUGUAGUAAUUUGUUAGAAAGACCUGAAGGGACAAGAGCCUACUGUCUGCGGGGCCCUUGACUAAGGCUCAGGGUGACCCCACGGGGAGCACAGCUCACGGGUGACAGCCCCACCAGCCCCUCCUGGGGAACGGAGGAGCUCACGCUUUCUGCCUUCACUUACUCAGCCAAGUUUUACGGAGCGCCAAGCAUGUGCCAGGCACUGACCCAGGCUCAGGUGACAGAGCCGAAAAGCAGGCAGAUCGUAAGAUCUUACGCCCUGCUUUCCCACCAAGUGACAUUCCAGCGGGCUGUGGGGGCAGGAAGUAGACCAUCUGGGAAGAGGGAACAGCAGGUGCCAAGGCCCUGAGGCAGGCAGGUGUCUGGCAUGUUGGAAGCAGCUGGAGGCCGGUGUCCAGGUGCAGAGUGAAUGAAGAUAAGCAUAAUCAGAGGUGGUGGCAGAGAAGGUCCCCGACACUGGAUCACACGGGCCUUGGGGCCAUCCCAAGGGUCUGACUUUUUCUGAAAGGAAUGGGGAAUCCAUUGCAGGGAAUAGAAACCAUCCCACUUAGGUUUCGGAUCCCAGCUGCCACUGCGUUGAGAACACUCUGUGGGCGAGGGGUGGGGGACCAGUUAGCAGGCAGCUGCCAGGGUCCUGAGGAGUAAGGAUGCUGCACAGACCAGGGGUGGCGGUAGCACCGUUCCCAUUCCCACCACAGUGUGAAGACCCAGGCCCACCGUGCCCUCUCCCUUUUGGCUCAAAUCCCAAAUGAUUUGAUGACAGAACAGAAAUUUCCAAAUCAGAACAUUCGUAUUGAACGUCCUGGAACGUCCUGGAUGUGCGGCAGCUGACCCGUGGCAGCCGUUCACACAGUCGCUCAACAAACAUUUGUGGAGAGCCCAAUCAGGCCAAGGAGCUCCAUCCCUGUCUGUUGUGGAAACAUACAAGUCAGGAGAUGUGUUCUGCUUCACUCUGGGCAGUGGACUGGUCCUGAGGAUAAAGGGACAGAGCUGGGGACAAGCUUAAUCCUUGCCCCUAGGAUGUGAAUAGUAGAAUCAUCGCAGGGAGUUUCUGUUGCCAUGUCAAGAUACCCAGGUUCCAAUCUCAUGAUCUUAGAGACAGCUGGGGGACCCGCAGUCCCUGAGGCCCCUCUAACGCCAAACAGAUGGGUCCAGCCCUUGACCCAGGGUGAACACUCUGGCAUUCUGGAACAUUCUGCCUCGUGCCCUUUGCCUGUAGCAUCCGUCCCUGGGAGAAGGCUCCUCUGGGAGUAUCUGGAUGUGGAAAGGCCUCUGUUCCCCAAAGAGUUAAUGAGCCCCUCAAACUGCCUGCUCCCUUAUGGGUGGAUGUCCCUGAGGCUGCAGAAACAGAAAACCUCUGGUGUCCCUUAGACCUGCGAUUUCACGUCCGUGCCUGUGGGCAAUGAAGUCGAAUGUCACAGAUGAUUUUCUAGGUGAUGAAAGGGCCAUGUUUUCCAAAAUAAAGAAGUGGGGUUCACGGCGGGGGCAGGGAGGCUGGAGGAAC
This 1707-nucleotide long non-coding RNA is filed under the name Marmota monax (woodchuck). The record is from RNAcentral. Lineage: Eukaryota; Metazoa; Chordata; Mammalia; Rodentia; Sciuridae.